This is a non-coding RNA of Eriocheir sinensis (Chinese mitten crab), 71 nucleotides long. NCBI's taxonomy places the organism in Eukaryota, Metazoa, Arthropoda, Malacostraca, Decapoda, Varunidae. The record is from the annotation of a RefSeq genome assembly.
GGCCUGUUGGUCUAGGGUAUGAUUCCUGCUUUGGGUGCAGGAGGUCCUGGGUUCGAAUCCCGGACAGGCCC